AUGUACACUUCAUAUAUAUUCAGACAUGCAGUAGAGGUAUUAUCUCUCCGGAGAGCUCCGAACCUGGGUAAUCACCACGUGUUGUUUGGCCAAUCACGUCCCUUGACCUCCAAAGCAGUCUUGCCCUCACCACAAGCCACCUCGUGGCAUCUGUCGUCUCGCGAACCCGCCCGCGAGAUAACCACGACAGUUGGCGCCCACCGUGGGGCAAGCUGCCGCGGAACCGCGGUCCGGGCGGGACCAUUUUCGUCAUCUCCGCCGCGACGUCGCCGCCGUCUCUCCGGUCGCACUCGAGGGCUCAACAUCAACUCACCCCGGGGUGACCAUGCGGAGCGGCGCGUCCUCGUCGUCGGCCUCGCCAUCUUCGUCAUCGUCACCGCAGCGUCGCACCGUCGCUCCAGUAGCGCUUCGAGGCUCUACAUCAACACGCCCCCGGCACGACCGUACGGGGUGGCGCGUCGUCAUCGUUCGCCUUCAGUCUGCGCGCUCGCCGCUCCGGCUCUUGCUCCUCGCCACCUCCGUCCGCACACGUACGCGCUGCUCCGCCUCGCUUCAGUCAGCUGCAUGCCCGCAUCCAUUCAUGCUCUGCUCGCCUCCGCUCCCUUAGGCGGUGCGUCUAGCUCCGGUCAGAAUGUGCGGUCGCUCCUCCAUACACUGAGCUCAAGCUCGUCCACGGCCGGACAAAAGCCAGACAUUUCCCAAGCACGUCCCAGACAAUAG
This 720-nucleotide ribosomal RNA is filed under the name Triticum aestivum (bread wheat). Its description in RNAcentral is "partial small subunit ribosomal RNA". Lineage: Eukaryota; Viridiplantae; Streptophyta; Magnoliopsida; Poales; Poaceae. The record is from RNAcentral.